GACGAACGCUGGCGGCGUGCUUAACACAUGCAAGUCGAGCGGUAAGGCCCCUUCGGGGGUACACGAGCGGCGAACGGGUGAGUAACACGUGAGCAACCUACCCUCAACUUCGGGAUAAGCCUCGGAAACGGGGUCUAAUACCGGAUAUCACUUUCCACCUCAUGGUGGGGGGUUGAAAGUUCUGGCGGUUGGGGAUGGACUCGCGGCCUAUCAGCUUGUUGGUGGGGUAAUGGCCUACCAAGGCGUCGACGGGGUAGCCGGCCUGAGAGGGCGACCGGCCACACUGGGACUGAGACACGGCCCAGACUCCUACGGGGGGCAGCAGUGGGGAAUAUUGCGCAAUGGACGAAAGUCUGACGCAGCAACGCCGCGUGAGGGAUGACGGCCUUGGUU
Molecule: ribosomal RNA, 393 nt
Filed under: uncultured bacterium
Lineage: Bacteria
Description: bacterial SSU rRNA
Rfam family: Bacterial small subunit ribosomal RNA
Source: RNAcentral